RNAcentral lists this ribosomal RNA (20 nucleotides) under Dermanyssus carpathicus. RNAcentral describes it as "partial 18S ribosomal RNA". The record is from RNAcentral. Lineage: Eukaryota; Metazoa; Arthropoda; Arachnida; Mesostigmata; Dermanyssidae.
AACAAGGUUUCCGUAGGUGA